This 490-nucleotide ribosomal RNA is filed under the name uncultured bacterium. RNAcentral's name for it is "bacterial SSU rRNA". It matches the Rfam family "Bacterial small subunit ribosomal RNA", at positions 64 to 507 of the family's 1533-position model. The record is from RNAcentral.
AGGCUCAAGAAUCAGACCUCAAGCACGAAGUGCUUCACGCUGAUUUACCAAGUGACAACACACUAAUUGAGUAAUUAGUGAAGCGACAUAUUAGCGGCGGACGGGUGAGUAACGCGUGAGCAAUCUGCCUUACACAAAGGGAUAGCCUCGGGAAACUGGGAUUAAUACCAUAUGACACUUGGUAAUCGCAUGAGGACCAAGUCAAAGAUUUUAUCGGUGUAAGAUGAGCUCGCGUCUGAUUAGCUAGUUGGUGGGUAAAGGCCUACCAAGGCGACGAUCAGUAGCCGGCCUGAGAGGGUGAACGGCCACACUGGAACUGAGACACGGUCCAGACUCCUACGGGAGGCAGCAGUGGGGAAUAUUGCACAAUGGGCGCAAGCCUGAUGCAGCGACGCCGCGUGAGCGAAGAAGGUUUUCGGAUCGUAAAGCUCUGUCCUCUGGGAAGAAAAAAAUGACGGUACCAGAGGAGGAAGCCCCGGCUAACUACGUG